Molecule: ribosomal RNA, 253 nt
Filed under: uncultured bacterium
Lineage: Bacteria
Description: partial 16S ribosomal RNA
Rfam family: Bacterial small subunit ribosomal RNA
Source: RNAcentral
UACGGAGGGUGCGAGCGUUGUCCGGAAUCACUGGGCGUAAAGGGCGCGUAGGCGGCGCGGAUAGUCGGCGGUGAAAGCCUGGAGCUCAACUCCGGGUCGGCCGUCGAUACUUCCGGGCUUGAGCACUGUAGAGGCAGAUGGAAUUCCGGGUGUAGCGGUGGAAUGCGUAGAGAUCCGGAAGAACACCGGUGGCGAAGGCGGUCUGCUGGGCAGUUGCUGACGCUGAUGCGCGACAGCGUGGGGAGCAAACAGG